GCUCAAUUUGUAAAGCGUCUGCCUGGAAUGCAGGAGACCCGGGUUCAAUCCCUGG
Molecule: transfer RNA, 55 nt
Filed under: Bos taurus (domestic cattle)
Lineage: Eukaryota; Metazoa; Chordata; Mammalia; Artiodactyla; Bovidae
Also listed under: 2 other names
Rfam family: tRNA
About the family: Transfer RNA (tRNA) molecules are approximately 80 nucleotides in length. Their secondary structure includes four short double-helical elements and three loops (D, anti-codon, and T loops).
Source: Rfam by way of RNAcentral